CUCAAGGUGGGGAGGGCAGAGCUAGGGAGGGGUGAGCAUGUCUUGGGACCGGACAGCCAGGCGGCUGGCACCGCCAUCACCGCUAUCGCUGCUCCUGGUGCUGGUGCUGCUCUCACGAGCCGGGGCUCUGCAUCCUGAAGAGCACUUUCCUUAUGGGAAGUCGUGGGAAGAUUGGCUGCUGCGGGAGGGCGACGUUGAAAGCUCCGCGGCUGUGAAGCUGGCAGUACUUAGCAGUAGCUUCUAAGGUGUCCAGUUAAGCAACCUCUACGUGGGCACCAAUGGGAUCAUCUCCGCCCAGGACUUACCCAGGGAGACUUAAUAUGUCGUUGAUGAUUUUCCUACUGACUUCCCAGCCAUCGCCCCAUUCCUGGCUGACAUCCACUUGAGUCACAGCAGUGGCCGGAUCCUGUAUGGAGGACACCUCCUGGGCUGUGCUGAGUCUGGCUGCUUGAUACCUGUGCACAGGCUUCCCCCCACCCACUUCUUCCUGGCCACCUGAGAGCAAGUGGGCGCCUAGGAGGAGGACAGGCUUGGUUGGGGCUGCCUGGUCUGGAGAGGAUAUGGAGACUGCAAUGAUUUUAAUCUGGAGGAUGCGCUGAAAGAAACUUCCUCAGUAAAGCAUGACUCAAAGAAACAAGUCCACCAAGCAAACACAAGUGGUCGGCCAUGCACCACACUGACAAUCUUGCCUUCAGAAAAGUACACGCAUAUGAGACUAGCUGUACCUCCAUCUACCUGUUUGUUCUGUUGUGCAAGGCUUGUGUCGUUUUGUCAUACGUGUGUCAUCUUCCUUUUAAAUUUAGAAAAUUUCAUAAUUUUCAUUAUGUUGAAACCACAAGAGAACAUGCAUCUGCCUUCGCCUUUUUUCUGCUGUACAAAAAGAGAACUCCGACCCGUUUCAUUCCUCUCACUGUUUGGUUUUGAGACAGGGUCUCUUGAUUUAGCCCGAGUUGUCCUGAAAUUCUCUGUGCCUAGAAGCCCGGCUUUGACUUGGGUCCAGUGCUAGAGCAACAGUGACUCUUGGCCACUGAUGUGCAUUUCUAGCUUCAGAACCCAUGGCUUUUUAUGAUUCUUCAGUGUGAUCCCCACAAUGUCCUUGGGGACUUAUACCGAGACCAUUCUCACGAUGUGACUUUUGUAAACCAUAAAGCAGCCACUGUGUUUUACAAUCUGCUUCCUUUCGUCCUCCCUUCUCCCUUCAGAGAGCCACUUUAGCACCACGACUAGAAGGACAGGAACAACCAGAGCCCCAUCAAAUCCAGCAGAGAGAGGGGACCACAUCACCACUACUACAACGAGAAGGCCAGGAACAACUAGAGCACCAUCAAAUCCUAUGGAACUUGAUAGGUUUGACUUGGAAGAUGCCUUGGAUGAUCAGAAUGAUCUAGAUGGCCCCAAAAAGCCAAGUACAGGAGAAGGAGGAGGUAAGUUCUAGAUGCUCAACAUCACAGGCCAGUGCUAUAGUUCCUGGUAUGGUUUUUCUUAUACCUGCAAUGGCGUUCUGAGACGUCCAGUGUACUGUAGAUUUGGGCCAGAUCUGGGCCACAUUGAGCUGCAAGAGAACCCCACAACAGUAGUACUGAUAUAUUUUGGUCUUGGGAUUCUCCGAAUUAUUGGGAAUCUCAGUAACUAUUGUCUGUGUUUGUCAUAUCUACCUCUGUCUAUCAUCUAUAUAUUUAAUUUUUUUAAAAAAAUCAGUAUUGUUCAUAUAAAAUGGUAAUACUAAACCAAUACAUAUUAACAUAAAUAGCACAAUGUAUGAGUCUGUGUGUCGAGAGAAAAACAAUUUGUCAGAGAGUGGCAUUAUUUUAUACUUCUUAGAAAUUUCUAGAAUGUCAAUCUUGCUAGGAGAUACCUGGAUUCUCAUAUUGAGAUAUGCAGCUUGAAAGCUGUCCUCUGACCUACACACACACACACACACACACACACACACACACACACACACACACACACACACAAACACA
Long non-coding RNA from Rattus norvegicus (Norway rat), 1964 nucleotides. RefSeq lists it as uncharacterized. The record is from RefSeq and is a predicted model, not a curated record. NCBI's taxonomy places the organism in Eukaryota, Metazoa, Chordata, Mammalia, Rodentia, Muridae.